CGGUUAAAAAGCUCGUAGUUGGAUCUCGGCAAGUAGAGGGCGGUAUGCUUCGUAGCAUUACUGCCCUAUUACUUGUAGUUUUGCCAGAGGUUCCUGGGUGCUCUUAAUCGAGUGUCUAGGGAUGCUGGCAGGUUUACUUUGAAAAAAUUAGAGUGCUCAAAGCAGGCUAUUACGCUUGAAUAUUCGUGCAUGGAAUAAUAGAAUAGGAAGUUGUUUCUAUUUUGUUGGUUUUCGGAAAUCGACUUAAUGAUUAAUAGGGACAGUCGGGGGCAUUUGUAUUCAGACGACAGAGGUGAAAUUCUUGGACCGUUUGAAGACAAUCUACUGCGAAAGCAUUUGCCAAGAAUGUUUUCAUUAAUCAAGAACGAAAGUUAGAGGUUCGAAGGCGAUUAGAUACCGCCCUAGUUCUAACCAUAAACGAUGCCAGCUAGCGAUCUGAGGACGUUUUUUUUGUAGACUCCUCAGGAAGCUUCCGGGAAACCAAAGCGUGUGGGUUCCGGGGGAAGUAUGGUUGCAAAGCUGAAACUUAAAGGAAUUGACGGAAGGGCACCACCAGGAGUGGAGCCUGCGGCUUAAUUUGACUCAACACGGGAAAUCUCACCAGGCCCGGACACUGGAAGGAUUGACAGAUUGAUAGCUCUU
Molecule: ribosomal RNA, 642 nt
Filed under: uncultured marine eukaryote
Lineage: Eukaryota
Description: SSU rRNA
Rfam family: Eukaryotic small subunit ribosomal RNA
Source: RNAcentral